Molecule: long non-coding RNA, 292 nt
Organism: Hipposideros armiger (great roundleaf bat)
Lineage: Eukaryota; Metazoa; Chordata; Mammalia; Chiroptera; Hipposideridae
Exons: 3
Source: RefSeq, a predicted model, not a curated record
GCCCGGCUUCUGCUGUCAAGUAGCUGGGGUGGGCUCGGCCGAGGCGAGGAGGGGCGCCGGCUGGGGAGAUGCGCUCCAGGUGUUUGUAGCGGAAGCGGGAAACCUGUAGGUGAUGGUCCAGCUGUGCCACGCCGGGGCGAGCAGGAGCAGGGAACAGAUAUCCACUUUGGGUCAUUUCUGAAGCUGAAUUCAGAGCAAUCUUAAGAUGGGAGUCUGAAUCGAUUUGAUAGUUUUCAACUGUUACAUGAGUUGCAUCCCAAACCACGUUCUGCAGGACUACCUAGAUGGUAAA